RNAcentral lists this ribosomal RNA (3219 nucleotides) under Empidonax traillii (willow flycatcher). Its description in RNAcentral is "eukaryotic LSU rRNA". It matches the Rfam family "Eukaryotic large subunit ribosomal RNA". Lineage: Eukaryota; Metazoa; Chordata; Aves; Passeriformes; Tyrannidae. The record is from RNAcentral.
GCGACCUCAGAUCAGACGUGGCGACCCGCUGAAUUUAAGCAUAUUACUCAGCAGAGGAAAAGAAACUAACGAGGAUUCCCUCAGUAACGGCGAGUGAAGAGGGAAGAGCCCAGCGCCGAAUCCCUGCCCUGCGGUGGGGCGCGGGACAUGUGGCGUACAGAAGCCCCCCUCCCCGGCGGCGCUCUCGGGGGAUCCAAGUCCUUGUGAUCGAGGCCGCAGCCCACGGACGGUGUGCGACCGGUAGCGGCCCCCUGGCGCGCCGGGCCCGGGGCUUCUCGGAGUCGGGUUGCUUGGGAAUGCAGCCCAAAGCGGGUGGUAAAGUCCAUCUAAGGCUAAAUACGGGCACGAGACUGAUAGCCAACAAGUACUGUAAGGGAAAGUUGAAAAGAACUUUGAAGAGAGAGUUUAAGAGGGCGUGAAACCGUUAAGAGGUAAACGGGUGGGGCCCGCGCAGUCCGCCCGGAGGAUUCAACCUGGCGAGUUGCGGUCGGCUGGCGCGGGCCCGGCGGAUCCCUGCCUCCGCCUCCCCUCCAUCCCCCGGGCUCCCGCCCGCGGGGGCGGGCCGGUGGGGGCGGGCCGGCGCCGCCGCAACCGGCUCGGGCCGUGCGGUUAGCGCGGGGGAGGGUCCCUGGGGGGGUCCCCGGGCCGGCACCCCGCCUCGGCCGACGCCUAGCAACCGGUUUAGAACUGGUGCAGAUCAGGGGAAUCCGACUGUUUAAUUAAAACAAAGCAUCACGAAGGCCUGCGGCGGGUGUUGACGCGAUGUGAUUUCUGCCCAGUGCUCUGAAUGUCAAAGUGAAGAAAUUCAAUGAAGCGCGGGUAAAUGGCGGGAGUAACUAUGACUCUCUUAAGUAAGAUGGGCUCUACGUUACUAACUGGGCUUUGCUGCAGAGGUAGCACCUCCUUGUGGUCCCGCCGGGUGCCCGCUAAGGGUAGCCAAGUCGACCUUCUGCCCCAGGCUGGAGGGGUGGUGUUCAGUCACCUUCUCCCUCUGCUGGUCUCGCCACCCAGCAGCAGUAUCAAGUGGCAGAAACCUCUGGCAGCAACGACUCGUUCCGAGCCCGUUGCCAGAGGCCUCGCCCACUGGCCACUGAAAAAUGUUGGGCAAAACCGCAGUUACACUUGAGGGGGUGUGCUGUUGGUUCCGUGUCCCCUCUACCGGACGGCUUCACGCCCUAUCGAGUGGCCUGACCAACCGCACGAUAGUACCUGGUUAUAGGUGGUUUGCGGAGACCAAAAGACCACCUCUGGAGAGGGAUAAACACCGGGUUGCCGGGCAGGGGUUCGUUCGUUAUCGGCCUCUGUACUGUCCUCCAUCCAUGGCUCUUAGCUGCGUGGUAAGGAGUGGGUGGAGACACAAAUCGUUACUGUUUCAGGCUCGGGGAGGUUCCUCUCUCUCUUGGAUGAACGUACACUAUGACUGGGUGCAGGAGAAAGGGACGGUCUCCUGAUUGCACCCAGCGGGUGUGUUCCUCUCCAGGGCAUGGGUUUCGCUUCGUUGUCGGGACCUAACAUCGACCUCUGUAUGCUCCACUACGUUCGCUCCGAACUGCGCCAGCGACGGGCCGGGGGGCAGGGACAUGUCCUUAAUGAGGUUCCCUCAUGCAGGCGCCGGGUAGUAUCUCACUCCAACUGGAGUCGAUGGACACCAUGCCGAUCGGGGGCGUCCCCGGUCGUUGCAGCGGGUGUACAUCACUCUGGGCCCUGACCCACAGGGUGGAUAGCUGGGUAAAAGUCGGCAGAUGCUACGGGGGUAGUGUUGCCUGACUUACGUGACACCCCUACCGGCCGGAUGCGUGCCUCGAUGCCUUAGUCAUGGGCAAGACUGGGUUGUCCUCUAUAGCUGCCACAGGGUCCAUCCUCCGCACUGGUUGCAAUCCGGGAGGUGUCGAGUUACUGUAGUUACACGACAAUACCAGACCCUAGGCUUUGGUACUGGCCGCAUCCCCUUCCGCAGUGGGAAUCUUGUGAUGAUUAUAACAACUCAUUGCGCGAGUCACGGAGGAGGAGACGCGGUGGAUGGGCCACCGUUACUUAACCCGGAAAAGGGACGCACUCCGUGUGUGUUCAAAUACUAGCCAAAUGCCUCGUCAUCUAAUUAAUGACGCGCAUGAAUGGAUGAACGAGAUUCCCACUGUCCCUAUCUACUAUCCAGCGAAACCACAGCCAAGGGAACGGGCUUGGCGGAAUCAGCGGGGAAAGAAGACCCUGUUGAGCUUGACUCUAGUCUGGCGCUGUGAAGAGACAUGAGAGGUGUAGAAUAAGUGGGAGACCGGGCGUCCCGGCCGUCGGUGAAAUACCACUACUCUGAUCGUUUUUUCACUUACCCUGUGAGGCAGGAGGGCGAGCCCCGAGGGGGGCUCCCGCUUCUGGCGCCAAGCACCUGGCACGUGCCGGGCGCGACCCGCUCCAGGGACAGCGACAGGUGGGGAGUUUGACUGGGGCGGUACACCUGUCAAAGCGUAACGCAGGUGUCCUAAGGCGCGCUCAGGGAGGAUGGAAACCUCCCGUGGAGCAGAAGGGCAAAAGCUGGCUUGAUCUUGAUUUUCAGUACGAAUACAGACUGUGAAAGCGGAGCCUCACGAUCCUUCUGGCUUUUUGGGUUUUAAACAGGAGGUGUCAGAAAAGUUACCACAGGGAUAAUUGGCUUGUGGCGGCCAAGGGUUCAUAGCGAUGUCGCUUUUUGAUCCUUCGAUGUCGACUCUUCCCAUCAUUGUGAAGCAGAAUUCACCAAGCGUUGGAUUGUUCAACCACUAAUAGGGAACGUGAGUUGGGUUUAGACCGUCGUGAGACAGGUUAGUUUUACCCUACUGAUGAUGUGUUUUUGCAAUAGUAAUCCUGCUCAUUACGAGAGGAACCGCAGGUUCAGACCCCUGGUGCGUGCCCUUGGCUGAGGAGCCACUGGUGCGAGGCUACCAUCUGCGGGCUUAUGACUGAACACCUCUAAGUCAGAAUCCCGCCUAGACGUAGUGAUACCGCAGCGCCGCCGGCGCCUCUGUGGGCUCGCGAUAGCUGGCCGCUCCGGCGGCCAGUGCAGAGCGCCGCUCGUGGUCGGGAGCCAGAGGGGCGGACGGAUGCGGCGCCGCCUCUCCCCCGUCGCAUACCGCAUGAUCGUGGGGCACCCGGCGCUAAAUCAUUCGUAGACGACCUGAUUCUGGGUCGGGGUUUCAUACGUAGCAGAGCAACUCCCUCGCUGCGAUCUAUUGAGAAUCAGCCCUC